GCAUUAUACUAUUUUGCAAGUGUGCACAAAUAUCAACUAGUAAUUUCAUAAAUCUGAAAACCACAAUUCCCCGAUGAUGACCAUGACCCUAGAAAAAGCCUAGAGAAAACAACCUCUUUACGAGACAUACCUUGCAAUAGAUGUUUGUUUAACUGGAAAUCCACAAGAGCAGCUGCCCAGAGCAAUGGUACAUAUUUGCUUCUGAAUCCUUUCUCAAAGACACUAUUUAAACAUGCUGAUGAACUGAGCUGGAUUUUUCCCCACCUCCAUUCCAGCAAAAUAAGGAGACUCAGAAGAUAAAAUUUGUUUUGUUAUUGUAAGUAGUGCUAUGUGGUACAGGAUUAAAUAAGAGAUGUGAACUCACCAUAGCAACCCCCGCAUCACAUUGUAGAUAUGCUGCUUCUAAGAUACGGCAAAUGUUUCUGAAGAAAUACACAGAAUAUGAGGAAUCCAGAAAACUCCCCUGUCUGUUUUGAACCACCUCCUGCUGACGUUCUGAGAUCUUGCAGUAAUACUAAUGGUCACCAUAAGAUAUUCAGCAGAAUUUUGUGAAAACAGUUAAAGUUGGAAAUUUCAGUUGUAGAGGGGCAGCACCAAUUUUCUCACAUUGCCUGAGAUGACUGAUAAAGAAGACAAGUAUUCUGGACUGCCACAUAAAGUCGACUCCAUUCAUUCUUCCAUCACUGUUCAAGGUUUUGUCUCUGUGGUACAGAAAUGCAGAAACCCUAAAUAAAUUUUGAAUAUUUUUGGUAGCAGAAGCAGAAGUUUAAUUUAAACCUCAAAGCAUUUUAUUAAUUCUGAAAACCUCAUUGUUAAUCUGCAUACCUACAUUUUAUCAGAAGGAAAUGUUUUUUUAUUCUUACAAAUGGACAAGUUUGUUCAUUGAGGAUGUUAAAAAAUCUGUUUAAAAAUCUACUGAUAAAAUGCAUCUCCCCAUAUGCAACUUUAUAUUUAUUUCAACACCAUUUCCCCUUUGGUUUCCCAUGUUUUUUCACAGAGGGCUAUUUAUACUUGGGGUAAGGGAUGAUGUACAGUGCCUGAAUGGUUUGUCCCUGGUGUUUCUGUGCACUGAGGACAGGUAACCCUGGUUGUGAUGGGGUUGAAGGGCUCACCUUACCCAUGAGCUGGGGUCCAAGUGCUGCUUGGUGGUGCUCCUGCCCUGGCUCUGUGUUCCCUGGGAUGCUGCCUUGAUCCUGGUGGGAGCUGAGGCUGAGUGCCCCAGGGCCUGGGAGAGAUGUUUGACUUGUAGUCCCACCAGGACUCCUCGCAGACAAGCUAUGCAAGGAGCUAUAUUUCAUCUCUGGUUUUUAUUCCCUUGUCAUGGCUACCCAUUGGUGCAAAACAUGCAGCUGCUCAGGUGAGAAGGAGGGUUCAGUCAGCAUCAAAAUGUCUGCCUGAGAAGUUGUGUGACAAUUUCCACCUUUGCUAUCAUUCAAAACUUCCUUUAAGCAGUUCUCAGUGCUCAGUUUUGACUGUGCCUUUGCUCAGCUUAGGGAUAAUGUUAAUUGUGACUACGUGCUGGCAGAGGUUGUCAAAGGGUAUUUGAGCUCUUCCUUGGCUUCCUUAUAUCUCCUGUAGUCCUCCUAGGUUUUCUUUGGCUUUUUUGUAGUUGUAUUUUUGUUUGGUUUUUUGCCUGGAUGAUUGAUUCAAGAUACACCCACCCCAAGUUUAUGAGCUCCUGAAACAAGGAGUUGCUGGCUGUGGUCCUCAGAUAACUGAAAUUAUAAUAAUAAUAAUAAUAUGUCCAAAAUAUGUUUCUUAUAAAAUAAUAACAUUCUAGAUUACUUCUCAUGUCCCAGGUUUACACACUGCAGUUUAACUGAUGGAUAUAGCCUAGUCACCAUGGCAUUGAGUUUCUUACAUUAGCUUGAGACCUUUAUGAUUAACUAUCACAGGGAUAUAACCACACUUGCACUUGCUGUUGUAACUCCAGAUCACUAAACCCUUCACAAACUGUAUCAAAAUGAGUCAAAUGUCUGCCUACAUGGUUCUCCAAAUAACCACGAUCAAUGGGUACCAUUUUCUGAAAGUAGUGACAGUCAUGGGUGUGAUGUGGCCAGUAUCAUGUUCAGCUGCCUUUGAGACCCUGCAUUCAACAGAGUUUCUAUUUAUAACUAUUUCUAUUUAUUGAGAAUGCCUGUUGGCACCAGGACAGGCCAGAGCUUGCUCUUCGGUCUCUGGAUCCACUAGGGAGAGCACUGUCUCCCACACCCUGCCUUUUCCCUGUCCAAAACAACAGCCAUGUGCGGAGCUGUGGAAAUAGUCAUGACUUCCUGCUAUACAUGUUGUACAUAUUGGGUGAACCCAAUUCAUUAAAAAAAAAAAAAAACCAACAAAAACCAAACC
Molecule: long non-coding RNA, 2346 nt
Organism: Passer montanus (Eurasian tree sparrow)
Lineage: Eukaryota; Metazoa; Chordata; Aves; Passeriformes; Passeridae
Exons: 4
Source: RefSeq, a predicted model, not a curated record